RNAcentral lists this ribosomal RNA (373 nucleotides) under uncultured organism. Its description in RNAcentral is "partial 16S ribosomal RNA". It matches the Rfam family "Bacterial small subunit ribosomal RNA", at positions 527 to 896 of the family's 1533-position model. The record is from RNAcentral.
GUAGGUGGCAAGCGUUGUCCGGAAUUAUUGGGCGUAAAGCGCGCGCAGGCGGUCCUUUAAGUCUGAUGUGAAAGCCCACGGCUCAACCGUGGAGGGUCAUUGGAAACUGGGGGACUUGAGUACAGAAGAGGAAAGCGGAAUUCCAAGUGUAGCGGUGAAAUGCGUAGAGAUUUGGAGGAACACCAGUGGCGAAGGCGGCUUUCUGGUCUGUAACUGACGCUGAGGCGCGAAAGCGUGGGGAGCAAACAGGGAUUAGAUACCCUGGUGGUCCACGCCGUAAACGAUGAGUGCUAAGUGUUAGGGGGUUUCCCGCCCCUUAGUGCUGCAGCUAACGCAUUAAGCACUCCGCCUGGGGAGUACGGCCGCAAGGCUG